This 465-nucleotide ribosomal RNA is filed under the name Vreelandella stevensii. RNAcentral describes it as "partial 16S ribosomal RNA". It matches the Rfam family "Bacterial small subunit ribosomal RNA", at positions 338 to 795 of the family's 1533-position model. Lineage: Bacteria; Pseudomonadati; Pseudomonadota; Gammaproteobacteria; Oceanospirillales; Halomonadaceae. The record is from RNAcentral.
CCUACGGGGGGCUGCAGUGGGGAAUAUUGGACAAUGGGGGCAACCCUGAUCCAGCCAUGCCGCGUGUGUGAAGAAGGCCCUCGGGUUGUAAAGCACUUUCAGUGAGGAAGAACGCCUGGUGGUUAAUACCCAUCAGGAAAGACAUCACUCACAGAAGAAGCACCGGCUAACUCCGUGCCAGCAGCCGCGGUAAUACGGAGGGUGCGAGCGUUAAUCGGAAUUACUGGGCGUAAAGCGCGCGUAGGUGGCUGGAUAAGCCGGUUGUGAAAGCCCCGGGCUCAACCUGGGAACGGCAUCCGGAACUGUCAAGCUAGAGGGCAGGAGAGGAAGGUAGAAUUCCCGGUGUAGCGGUGAAAUGCGUAGAGAUCGGGAGGAAUACCAGUGGCGAAGGCGGCCUUCUGGACUGACACUGACACUGAGGUGCGAAAGCGUGGGUAGCAAACAGGAUUAGAUACCCGAGUAGUC